UGGGGAAUAUUGCACAAUGGGCGCAAGCCUGAUGCAGCCAUGCCGCGUGUGUGAAGAAGGCCUUCGGGUUGUAAAGCACUUUCAGCGAGGAGGAAGGGUAGUGUGUUAAUAGCACAUUGCAUUGACGUUACUCGCAGAAGAAGCACCGGCUAACUCCGUGCCAGCAGCCGCGGUAAUACGGAGGGUGCAAGCGUUAAUCGGAAUUACUGGGCGUAAAGCGCACGCAGGCGGUUUGUUAAGUCAGAUGUGAAAUCCCCGCGCUUAACGUGGGAACUGCAUUUGAAACUGGCAAGCUAGAGUCUUGUAGAGGGGGGUAGAGUUCCAGGUGUAGCGGUGAAAUGCGUAGAGAUCUGGAGGAAUACCGGUGGCGAAGGCGGCCCCCUGGACAAAGACUGACGCUCAGGUGCGAAAGCGUGGGGAGCAAACA
Molecule: ribosomal RNA, 427 nt
Filed under: uncultured bacterium
Lineage: Bacteria
Description: partial 16S ribosomal RNA
Rfam family: Bacterial small subunit ribosomal RNA
Source: RNAcentral